This 1383-nucleotide ribosomal RNA is filed under the name Triticum aestivum (bread wheat). RNAcentral describes it as "partial small subunit ribosomal RNA". The record is from RNAcentral. Lineage: Eukaryota; Viridiplantae; Streptophyta; Magnoliopsida; Poales; Poaceae.
AUGCCAUCGUCACCGCCGGCGGCGGCGGCGGCACCACGAAGCCGUCGAUCCAAGAAAAAGACACGGACGUACCACGUGUCGGUGUUCUGGUUCACGCCCGUCCCGCUGCCGGAGAGGGACUGGGCGGAGCUGCACCCGAACCUGAUCUCCUGCAUCCUCCACAAGCUCGACCAGGCCGAGCUCCUGCUCGGCGGCGUGGCCGGCGUGUGCCGUUCCUGGCGGCGGGCCGCCCGGGAAGAGCCGGAGUUGUGGCGCUGCAUCGAUCUCCGUGCCGGCCUGUGGUUCGUCCCGCCGUUCCACCCCAAGUUCAGCCUCGAGGCCAUGGUGCGGGCCGCCCUGCGGCUUAGCCAGGGCCAGUGCGAGGCCUUCCUGACCAACCUCGCCGACGACGAUAUCCUCCUCUUGCUCGCCAAGCAGGCACCUGCGCUAAAGUGCCUCCAUCUCCAUAGGUGCUAUGUCUCGGAUGAAGGAUUUGCGACGGUGAUUAAGAUGUUACCUCUACUUGAGGAGCUCGAGAUUUCCAAAUGUCCGCAAAUAUAUAGUAGGGAGACAUAUGAACUUGUCGCUAGAGCAUGCCCACUGCUAAAGCACUUCAGACAUGUCUCGGGAAAGAACUGCCAUGCUGGUUAUGCGAUAACAUUUGCGGCUCCAAGGAUGCGCAAACUACGUUCCUUGGAUGUUGUCGGUUGCACCUUCGGUAGGGAAGUUCUGGUAGCUAUCCUAGACAAUUGCCAUGACCUAGAGUACCUUAACAUGUCAGUGUGCGACCCUAUUGCCAUUGAUAACCCACCAGAAAAUCUUGCCUGGAUGAGCAUGGAUGACCUUUAUUGGUACUCGAGCAACUAUUACGAUGACUAUACUGGUUGUAACUACUGCUAUCCCUACAAGCCCAGGUAUAACUACUGUCGUCCCUGGUCAUAUCCGCAUUACAAAGACGAUCCCUAUUAUGAUUACUGCUACUACCUUGGUGACGGUGAUGAUGUUGAUGAUGCCGAUCUCGAAGAGUAUGAGAAGAUACUUGACAUCAAGAGCAUGCGUAGGACUGGGCGGAGCUGCACCCAGACUAGUCUCCCGCGUCCUCCACGGGCUAGACCAGGCCGAGCUCAUACUGGGCGGCGUGGUCGCGUGUGCCGCUCCUGGCGACGGGCCGCCCAGGGCCAGGAGGAGCCGGAGCUGUGGCGCCACAUCAACGUGCACGGUCGCCUGUGGCUCGUCCUGCCGUUCCACCCCAAGUUGACCCUCGACACCAUGGUGCAGGCCUCCCUACGGCUCAUCGCGGGCCAGUGUGAGGCCUUCCUGACUGACCUCGCCAACGAUGAUAUCCUCCUCGUGGUUGCCAAGCAGUACGAUUUCAUUCCUUCUUCUCUUUUCCCUAACAAUUAA